RNAcentral lists this ribosomal RNA (253 nucleotides) under uncultured bacterium. RNAcentral's name for it is "partial 16S ribosomal RNA". It matches the Rfam family "Bacterial small subunit ribosomal RNA", at positions 524 to 776 of the family's 1533-position model. The record is from RNAcentral.
UACAGGGGGGGCAAGCGUUGUUCGGAAUUACUGGGCGUAAAGGGUCUGUAGGUGGCCAACUAAGUCAGACGUGAAAUCCCUCAGCUUAACUGGGGAACUGCGUCUGAUACUGGAUGGCUCGAGUGUGGGAGAGGAAUGCGGAAUUCCGGGUGUAGCGGUGAAAUGCGUAGAUAUCCGGAGGAACACCGGUGGCGAAGGCGGCUUCCUGGACCGAUACUGACGCUGAGGCGCGAAAGCUAGGGGAGCAAACGGG